RNAcentral lists this ribosomal RNA (341 nucleotides) under uncultured Lactobacillus sp. Its description in RNAcentral is "bacterial SSU rRNA". It matches the Rfam family "Bacterial small subunit ribosomal RNA", at positions 350 to 683 of the family's 1533-position model. Lineage: Bacteria; Bacillati; Bacillota; Bacilli; Lactobacillales; Lactobacillaceae. The record is from RNAcentral.
AGCAGUAGGGAAUCUUCCACAAUGGGCGCAAGCCUGAUGGAGCAACACCGCGUGAGUGAAGAAGGGUUUCGGCUCGUAAAGCUCUGUUGUUGGAGAAGAACGUGCGUGAGAGUAACUGUUCACGCAGUGACGGUAUCCAACCAGAAAGUCACGGCUAACUACGUGCCAGCAGCCGCGGUAAUACGUAGGUGGCAAGCGUUAUCCGGAUUUAUUGGGCGUAAAGCGAGCGCAGGCGGUUGCUUAGGUCUGAUGUGAAAGCCUUCGGCUUAACCGAAGAAGUGCAUCGGAAACCGGGCGACUUGAGUGCAGAAGAGGACAGUGGAACUCCAUGUGUAGCGGUG